CCCAGACUCCUACGGGAGGCAGCAGUGGGGAAUAUUGGGCAAUGGGCGCAAGCCUGACCCAGCAACGCCGCGUGAAGGAAGAAGGCUUUCGGGUUGUAAACUUCUUUUCUCAGGGACGAAGCAAGUGACGGUACCUGAGGAAUAAGCCACGGCUAACUACGUGCCAGCAGCCGCGGUAAUACGUAGGGGGCAAGCGUUAUCCGGAUUUACUGGGUGUAAAGGGGGCGCAGACGGCGAUGCAAGCCAGGAGUGAAAGCCCGGGGCCCAACCCCGGGACUGCUCUUGGAACUGCGUGGCUGGAGUGCAGGAGGGGCAGGCGGAAUUCCUGGUGUAGCGGUGAAAUGCGUAGAUAUCAGGAGGAACACCGGUGGCGAAGGCGGCCUGCCGGACUGCAACUGACGUUGAGGCCCGAAAGCGUGGGGAGCAAACAGGAUUAGAUACCCGUGUA
RNAcentral lists this ribosomal RNA (448 nucleotides) under uncultured bacterium. RNAcentral describes it as "partial 16S ribosomal RNA". It matches the Rfam family "Bacterial small subunit ribosomal RNA", at positions 330 to 792 of the family's 1533-position model. The record is from RNAcentral.